This 401-nucleotide ribosomal RNA is filed under the name uncultured bacterium. Its description in RNAcentral is "bacterial SSU rRNA". It matches the Rfam family "Bacterial small subunit ribosomal RNA", at positions 357 to 775 of the family's 1533-position model. The record is from RNAcentral.
GGGAAUAUUGCACAAUGGGCGCAAGCCUGAUGCAGCCAUGCCGCGUGUAUGAAGAAGUAUUUCGGUAUGUAAAGCUCUAUUAGCAGGGAAGAAAAUGACGGUACCUGACUAAGAAACACCGGCUAACUACGUGCCAGCAGCCGAGGUAAUACGUAGGGGGCAAGCGUUACCCGGAUUUACUGGGUGUAAAGGGAGCGUAGACGGUUAUGCAAGUCUGGAGUGAAAGCCCGGGGCUCAACCCCGGGACUGCUUUGGAAACUGUAAAACUGGAGUGCAGGAGAGGCAGGCGGAAUUCCUAGUGUAGCGGUGAAAUGCGUAGAUAUUAGGAGGAACACCAGUGGCGAAGGCGGCCUGCUGGACUGUAACUGACGUUGAGGCUCGAAGGCGUGGGGAGCAAACAG